AUACGGAGGGUGCAAGCGUUACUCGGAAUCACUGGGCGUAAAGCGCGCGCAGGCGGUCUUUUAAGUUGGAUGUGAAAGCCUACAGCUCAACUGUAGAACUGCAUCCAAAACUAUCAGACUAGAGUCUGGGAGGGGAAGAUGGAAUUAGUUGUGUAGGGGUAAAAUCCGUAGAGAUAACUAGGAAUACCAAAAGCGAAGGCGAUCUUCUGGAACAGUACUGACGCUGAGGCGCGAAAGCGUGGGGAGCAAACAGGAUUAGAUACCCCAGUAGUCC
This 274-nucleotide ribosomal RNA is filed under the name uncultured bacterium. Its description in RNAcentral is "partial 16S ribosomal RNA". It matches the Rfam family "Bacterial small subunit ribosomal RNA", at positions 523 to 796 of the family's 1533-position model. The record is from RNAcentral.